CCCUCCCUCCCAGACCCUCCCAACUCUUGGACAGCUCACUAAGAAUGCAGCUUCACAAUAAAAUGGAUGCUGUCCAGGAGGUGGGAGGGUCUGGGAGGGAGGG
RNAcentral lists this microRNA precursor (103 nucleotides) under Pelobates cultripes (western spadefoot toad). Lineage: Eukaryota; Metazoa; Chordata; Amphibia; Anura; Pelobatidae. The record is from RNAcentral.